UUGAAUGAGAACGGUGAACUCGGAAGUGAGAUCUGAGUCCGUUAAGACGUUUUGAAAUUUUUGACUUUUUGACGAUGAAUAGUAAAAUACUGCUAUUUCGUCUUUUUGUCGACUUUCAAAAUCUUACGUGCACGUCGUCGAGAAAUAUUCUUAAUUUUUCGAUACGAGUCCAAUAAUGAAAGUUUUUAUUUUUGGACGACGAGUGAAUAGUAAAUCGGGAUUUCUCGAUAAACGAACCGAGCUCGUUUAUCAGAAUUUCGAGAACGAGCUUGCGUUUUCUAUAUUUAUAUAGAAUUACGAGUGUAAUGAAAGUGAGUAGGAGUUAAGAGGGUGAGUAACGAAGAAUGUGGGUAAUUAGUCGUUAAAACGAGACGAAACGGGAUAUUUAACGACUAACGGGUUAAUAUCUUAAAUAUCUAAGGCUACCCCACCAAAACCACCCCCCAAACCACCCAACACCCCUUUAUCUACCUCACUCACGGCUGAAUUCAGCCAACACACUCCAAUCAUCUUUGCUCUCUCACACACACAACACCCAAAACACCUACUUAUCACGCCAAACACCAUUUUUAGCUUGGACGGAGGUUUCAAGCUCCGAUUUGAGCACCGAGACGAGCACCGAUCAUCUUUUCGAUCACGUAUCUAAGUAGGUUGAGCUGAUGUGAUGAUGGUGCUGCAAUGAGCGGAGUCUCCAGGGUUGUUAAUAAAUAGUUAACCUGUCUAGAAUAUGUCUUCAUACAUAUGUCUAGCUACUUUCCGCUGCAAGAUGUUGUUGAUGUUAUAGUAUGUUAUGUCAUACUUUGAGUCUUAAAAGAAUGGUUUCAUAUGAUGUAUAACUUGAUUAAUGAUAUUAAUUAAGUUUUAUGUUGUCUUUCA
Salvia miltiorrhiza (redroot sage) is the source of this 876-nucleotide long non-coding RNA. RefSeq lists it as uncharacterized. The record is from RefSeq and is a predicted model, not a curated record. The transcript has 2 exons. NCBI's taxonomy places the organism in Eukaryota, Viridiplantae, Streptophyta, Magnoliopsida, Lamiales, Lamiaceae.